RNAcentral lists this ribosomal RNA (301 nucleotides) under uncultured bacterium. RNAcentral describes it as "partial 16S ribosomal RNA". It matches the Rfam family "Bacterial small subunit ribosomal RNA", at positions 509 to 807 of the family's 1533-position model. The record is from RNAcentral.
CAGCCGCCGCGGGAAUACAGAGGAUGCAAGCGUUGUCCGGAAUUAUUGGGCGUAAAGGGCUCGCAGGCGGUUUCUUAAGUCUGAUGUGAAAGCCCCCGGCUCAACCGGGGAGGGUCAUUGGAAACUGGGAAACUUGAGUGCAGAAGAGGAGAGUGGAAUUCCACGUGUAGCGGUGAAAUGCGUAGAGAUGUGGAGGAACACCAGUGGCGAAGGCGACUUUCUGGUCAGUAACUGACGCUGAGGAGCGAAAGCGUGGGGAGCGAACAGGAUUAGAUACCCCUGUAGUCCCUGUCUCUUAUAC